This is a long non-coding RNA of Salvia miltiorrhiza (redroot sage), 152 nucleotides long. RefSeq lists it as uncharacterized. NCBI's taxonomy places the organism in Eukaryota, Viridiplantae, Streptophyta, Magnoliopsida, Lamiales, Lamiaceae. The transcript is spliced from 2 exons. The record is from RefSeq and is a predicted model, not a curated record.
UCUUAUGCACCCUUCUCUUUGUAUUGAGAUCUUUAGUGAUGGUUGUUGGAGUCUUUGUUGCUUUACUAACUACAUUUCAUAGAUAUAAUCUGGAGUGUCAAAUGGUGAACCAAAAGAUCAUUAACAUUAUUCAUGCAAGAAACUUUUUCCGU